UCCGACUUAACGUCGGCAGUCUCGCUAGAGUGCCCAACUGAAUGCUGGCAACUAACGAAAGAGGUUGCGCUCGUUGCGGGACUUAACCCAACAUCUCACGACACGAGCUGACGACAGCCAUGCAGCACCUUCUCAUCGAUUCCCCGAAGGGCACUCCCACGUCUCUGCAGGAUUCCGAUGGAUUUAACCCAGGUAAGGUUCUGCGCGUUGCGUCGAAUUGAACCACAUGCUCCACCGCUUGUGCGGGCCCCCGUCAAUUCAUUUGAGUUUUAACCUUGCGGCCGUACUCCCCAGGCGGUCUACUUAGUGCGUUAGCUGCGCCACUAAGAGCUCAAGGCUCCCAACGGCUAGUAGACAUCGUUUACGGCUGGGACUAC
RNAcentral lists this unclassified non-coding RNA (377 nucleotides) under uncultured Pseudomonadota bacterium. Its description in RNAcentral is "uncultured proteobacterium contains 16S-23S intergenic spacer region". Lineage: Bacteria; Pseudomonadati; Pseudomonadota. The record is from RNAcentral.